This is a long non-coding RNA of Dermochelys coriacea (leatherback sea turtle), 428 nucleotides long. RefSeq lists it as uncharacterized. The record is from RefSeq and is a predicted model, not a curated record. The transcript has 2 exons. NCBI's taxonomy places the organism in Eukaryota, Metazoa, Chordata, Testudines, Dermochelyidae.
CCACUAUGGACACUUCAGAGUCCAGUUCAACAAGGCAGGAGGAGGAGGAAAGUGGGAGCGAGGGUGCUGAUGCAUGCAGCCAGGAGCUGUUUUCAAGCCAGGAGGAAGGUAGCCAGUCGCAGCAGAUGAUGCUUGGUGAAGAACAAACACCAGCGGAGGUGCCUGAUGCAACCUUGAGAUCCCAGCCAUCCUUGUUACCAGUGGCCGAAAGACUCUAAAGAAUCAGGAAGCAGACAUGUAGAAGUAAAGACGACAUGCUGCAUGAACUAAUGCAGCACUCCCUUAAUGAAAAUCAAUAAGUGCAGGAGUGGCGGGAGAGUGAAAGGAGCAUCCACCAGCAGAAUGCGGAUCGCCGGCACCAAAGCACAGAGUGGCUGCUAAGCAUCAUGGAGCACCAAGUGGACUCGAUACAGGCACUUGUAGCAAUG